AUGUCACACAGAUGAUAAAGAGCAAGGAUAGACCUCUUCAUUUCAUGUUUGAGGCAAUUCUCUAAGACAGCUGAUUUCUCCAGAGCUGGUAGGUAAGUAUCUACCUCCCAGAAUGCAAUGUGUCCAGAGAUUAUAAUAAGUGAAAUAUUGGAUUGCCAAUAUUCUUUUCUCUUGUCCUUCUACGCUUGGAUUCUUUUUUUAAGUUUAUUCCCCACUGUAGGAGACAGACUUGCUCACGUGAUAGAUCCGGCCAUGAUAUUGUCCCUAAGAGAACGAGAUGCUCUUUGCAGAAGACAUAGAAGAUUCCUGAAACUGGGAAAGGGGCCUAGAAACCUGGAGAAGAGUGAAGAAGGCAUUUUCCCUCCCCUGCUUAGGCAUCUGCCACCAUAUUCAAUACUUUCUCCAGGGUUCUCAGGUUUCCCAUUGGCUUGGAAUUUGUCAAUUAGUUUUGCUGGCUGGACAGAAAGCCACACGGAUCCUCUU
Molecule: long non-coding RNA, 483 nt
Filed under: Rattus norvegicus (Norway rat)
Lineage: Eukaryota; Metazoa; Chordata; Mammalia; Rodentia; Muridae
Description: partial Pvt1
Source: RNAcentral